UACGAAGGGGGCUAGCGUUGUUCGGAAUCACUGGGCGUAAAGCGCACGUAGGCGGAUCUUUAAGUCAGGGGUGAAAUCCCGAGGCUCAACCUCGGAACUGCCUUUGAUACUGGGGAUCUCGAGUCCGGGAGAGGUGAGUGGAACUGCGAGUGUAGAGGUGAAAUUCGUAGAUAUUCGCAAGAACACCGGUGGCGAAGGCGGCCCUCUGGACCGGUACUGACGCUGAUGCGCGAAAGCGUGGGGAGCAAACGGG
Molecule: ribosomal RNA, 253 nt
Filed under: uncultured bacterium
Lineage: Bacteria
Description: partial 16S ribosomal RNA
Rfam family: Bacterial small subunit ribosomal RNA
Source: RNAcentral